RNAcentral lists this ribosomal RNA (301 nucleotides) under uncultured bacterium. RNAcentral's name for it is "partial 16S ribosomal RNA". It matches the Rfam family "Bacterial small subunit ribosomal RNA", at positions 509 to 807 of the family's 1533-position model. The record is from RNAcentral.
CAGUCGCCGCGGGAAAACAGAGGGUGCGAGCGUUAAUCGGAUUUACUGGGCGUAAGGCGUGCGUAGGCGGUGAGUUAAGUCUGCUGUGAAAUCCCCGGGCUCAACCUGGGAAUGGCAGUGGAUACUGGCUCGCUAGAGUGUGGUAGAGGAUAGUGGAAUUCCCGGUGUAGCGGUGAAAUGCGUAGAGAUCGGGAGGAACAUCAGUGGCGAAGGCGGCCAUCUGGGACAACACUGACGCUGAGGCACGAAAGCGUGGGGAGCAAACAGGAUUAGAUACCCCCGUAGUCCCUGUCUCUUAUAC